CAAGGGUGGAGGGCGGAGAGAAACCCAAAGGUUGGAGCCGAAAUCCAAAUCAAGGUGGUUUUCUUAGGAAAUGCCAGUUAAUCUACUAGAUAAUCUUCACCAUCACCUUUCUCUUCAUGACUUUUCAGAGUUUGCAUUAUGCUAAGACUCCCUAAUUCUUCUUUGUUUCUUAGUAUCAUUUUCGAUAACCAAGGAAUGGCAAAUUUGAGCAAUAACAUGGGGACCUUCAGUGUGUAUCGAAUAUGCUUUAUUGAUGAAUUCACUUAAUCUCUUUCUACUCUUAGGGCAUUGUGGGCAAAUGGAACAAUCAUAGAACAAGAGGGGCACAAAACCGCAGGACUCAUGAGCUCUGAUGCAGUGUGGGGAUGCCCUGUAGAAACUUCACAUGGAUGUUGCGAGGGUAAAAAAGGAGGAAAUGCAUCUUCGAUACAUAAGGUAGUGAUACAGAGGCUCAGAGAUUCAAGAAAACUGCUCAGUUUUACAUCAGAAACCAGGAUGAAGACACGAGAGAAAGGUUAGCUGUGUGGAGUGCUUCUCCCAGUGUGGUUCCAGCAGGUCUUGGUGGAGCAGCUCUCCCCGGGAACCACGGCUUUGAGUUUCCAUGACGGAUAAGAGUUAGAGCACAAGGCAUUAGUAAGAAAUUGCAUUUCUUUAUUUUCAUUGCAUGUUUACUUGCCUUCUAGGAUUGUGGCAAGGUUUCUUAACAUCAACAGAAACGAGGGAACUUGCAAAGAACAAAUGACUAGGGCGUUCAGUUGCAUCUUUGCAAGGAACCUGGAUUCGGUGAGAUCAUGGAGGCUUUGUUUGACCUUAAACAGCUUUGACAGUUGAAAUUUGAGAUUUUAACCCCUCCAUAAGGCUGUUAAACCAGCCAGAAAAUGUGGAGCAUUUGAGAAAUUCCACAGAUCGAGGGGACACCAAUGAACUGAAAGGAGCCCAAAUGCUGGUGCUCCGAAAGCAGGUGCCGGGGAAGGGGGAGGAGUUGUGCCUGGGGCAGCAAGUCUCUGGAGCCCCCUCAAUGAAGAGGCUCCUUGGUCUUCAGCUCUGUCCUUCCUCCCCUGCACUUCCCAUAGAAUGGAUCUCUAGCACCUUGUUGUUUUGAAGAACAGUCAAGUAGAGGGGCGCCUGUGUGGCUCAGUCAGCUACAUGUCUGCCUUGGCUCAGAUUCUGAUCCUGGAAUCCCCAGAUUGAGCCCUGUGUUAGGCUCCCUGCUCAGCGGAGAGCCUGCUUCUCCCUCUCGUGCUCUUUCUCACUCUCUCUCAUAAAUAAAAUCUUUAAAAAAAAAAAAAAGGUUCAAGGAGAAAAUCAUAACAGAGCCACCUCACUGUCCUGCAUGGAAUGCAUGGACUAGUCUCCGUAGCGGGAAAGAGCCCAUGGUGCCUGCCGAAGGCGCAAAGGCUUCGGAAGUGGAUUCUGAUGGUGUCACUAGGAGAAUGCACCAUGACUUGUUUUGUAUGUAGGUAAUAGGGGUCAGAGAGGUGCUGGGUCUGCUCCUAACUAAGCAGUCCACUGUGAUUUGAAUAAUCC
Molecule: long non-coding RNA, 1527 nt
Filed under: Mustela putorius furo (domestic ferret)
Lineage: Eukaryota; Metazoa; Chordata; Mammalia; Carnivora; Mustelidae
Description: lncRNA (ENSMPUG00000027738.1)
Source: RNAcentral